Molecule: ribosomal RNA, 410 nt
Filed under: uncultured microorganism
Description: bacterial SSU rRNA
Rfam family: Bacterial small subunit ribosomal RNA
Source: RNAcentral
GAGUUUGAUCGUGGCUCAGAUUGAACGCUGGCGGCAUGCCUUACACAUGCAAGUCGAACGGUAACAGGUCUUCGGAUGCUGACAAGUGGCGAACGGGUGAGUAAUACAUCGGAACGUGCCCGAUCGUGGGGGAUAACGGAGCGAAAGCUUUGCUAAUACCGCAUACGAUCUACGGAUGAAAGCAGGGGACCGCAAGGCCUUGCGCGGACGGAGCGGCCGAUGGCAGAUUAGGUAGUUGGUGGGAUAAAAGCUUACCAAGCCGACGAUCUGUAGCUGGUCUGAGAGGACGACCAGCCACACUGGGACUGAGACACGGCCCAGACUCCUACGGGAGGCAGCAGUGGGGAAUUUUGGACAAUGGGCGAAAGCCUGAUCCAGCCAUGCCGCGUGCAGGAUGAAGGCCUUCGGUU